CAGUGCUCAGCCCGGGGUGACCCGGCGUCGCGGAGCUGCCGAGGCCCGGGCCGCCCGUCCGGGGACUCGCGGGCAGCGUGUGAGGAGUAACUCAGAUCACCUUGACUGGAAAUCAGAUUGCUGAAUUUAUUGAAGCAGCUGUUCUUGAAUUUGAAGAAAAGUUCUCCAUACAGAGGCUUCCUGAUUGAACGGAGGAGUGUGGCCCUUCCUCCAAGCUCUGCCUGGACCACCAC
Long non-coding RNA from Jaculus jaculus (lesser Egyptian jerboa), 233 nucleotides. RefSeq lists it as uncharacterized. Lineage: Eukaryota; Metazoa; Chordata; Mammalia; Rodentia; Dipodidae. The record is from RefSeq and is a predicted model, not a curated record. The transcript is spliced from 3 exons.